This is a long non-coding RNA of Fukomys damarensis (Damara mole-rat), 481 nucleotides long. RefSeq lists it as uncharacterized. The transcript has 4 exons. The record is from RefSeq and is a predicted model, not a curated record. NCBI's taxonomy places the organism in Eukaryota, Metazoa, Chordata, Mammalia, Rodentia, Bathyergidae.
AUCAAAUUCUGAGAAAGAUAGGAAUUUUAGCAGGUACUAUUCAACCCACUAUACCACUAUGGAUAAAAUUUCUAAGUAAAGACCAAGGCACAACAACGUAAUAUGUUCAUGACAAAAUAGACUAUUCUAAAACAGAAUUCAAAGAUGGAGCUGUCAAUACAGAGGAUAAAGUCCACAAGAUUUGAUAUACUCAAGAACCUAGGACAGAAGAAUUCUAUGUAAUUUGAUGAAGUAUUGGGAAAACAAAGUAUGAUUUGAAGACACCUAUCGGAGGCCUUUAUCCUGGGUCCAUCUCAAGAGUCAUCACAGCUGGCUUCAAGUCACACAUUUCCAUACAGAAAUAAGGCCUUGUUCUUUGUAGUAUAUCAUAAUAGUGAUCACACCUUAUCAACCCAUCUCAGUACAGAUGAUGUCAAUUUUGAUGGCCUGGAUAGGUAACAAUUGGAAUGCAUUUAUUCAAUGAGAUCAAAACUUACCAGAA